This 536-nucleotide ribosomal RNA is filed under the name Meyerozyma guilliermondii. Its description in RNAcentral is "LSU rRNA". It matches the Rfam family "Eukaryotic large subunit ribosomal RNA", at positions 104 to 656 of the family's 3401-position model. The record is from RNAcentral. Lineage: Eukaryota; Fungi; Ascomycota; Pichiomycetes; Serinales; Debaryomycetaceae.
AAAGCUCAAAUUUGAAAUCUGGCGCCUUCGGUGUCCCAUUUGUAAUUUGAAGAUUGUAACCUUGGGGUUGGCUCUUGUCUAUGUUUCUUGGAACAGGACGUCACAGAGGGUGAGAAUCCCGUGCGAUGAGAUGCCCAAUUCUAUGUAAGGUGCUUUCGAAGAGUCGAGUUGUUUGGGAAUGCAGCUCUAAGUGGGUGGUAAAUUCCAUCUAAAGCUAAAUAUUGGCGAGAGACCGAUAGCGAACAAGUACAGUGAUGGAAAGAUGAAAAGAACUUUGAAAAGAGAGUGAAAAAGUACGUGAAAUUGUUGAAAGGGAAGGGUUUGAGAUCAGACUCGAUAUUUUGUGAGCCUUGCCUUCGUGGCGGGGUGACCCGCAGCUUAUCGGGCCAGCAUCGGUUUGGGCGGUAGGAUAAUGGCGUAGGAAUGUGACUUUACUUCGGUGAAGUGUUAUAGCCUGCGUUGAUGCUGCCUGCCUAGACCGAGGACUGCGAUUUUAUCAAGGAUGCUGGCAUAAUGAUCCCAAACCGCCCGUCUUG